GGGGAGAUCCUGAUUGGAGGGCGUCAGAGCAGGAGGAAACGGAGAGAAAGGCUGAGCGCUCGCGGACGGAAGAGGGAUUUCUGGUUUGUUUUGUUCUAUUUUGGUUUUGGUUUUUUAGUUUGGGUUUGUUGCCAGAGGUGAGGAGAUAGACGUUUAGUGCGGAAUCUUGCUCCCGACGCAGAGUCCCAGCUAAAGAAAUCCCUCUCCUAUAGUCGGUAACCCAGAGGCCCUCUCCAGACUCCAGAUCUAAUAGAGAAAACUCAAGAGAGCUCCCAGUUAUUCUAUCAGUUCACUUCACAGCGGGCCUGCCGGUCAGUGUGGCAGUGUGAUCCAGGACUCUUCCAAGACCCGGGGCCCUGCCCUUUGGAGACGCCUGCCCAACCUUCCGCAUCCCUGGGGCGAGAAUCUUGACGAUCAGUGUCCCGAUGUCCCCACGCCUACCCCCACCUGACCUCCCUCCCGGUACUCAGGACCCCAGAAUCCCUGCCCAAAUGGCCCAAGCCCGCUUCCAGAGCCCAUGUGGGUCUGUUCCCAUAGUCCACCCUUUCAAGGGUGGCCUGUGCAGCCGGUGGCCUAGGGGUCGCUGCUUGGGGCCCGGGCAGUGGGCAGAACGCAGAUACAGGCUGGUGUUAGGAGCGUGCGGCUGGGCCCCCUGCUGAGGGUGGGAAGGACACAGGGACAGGCCCCGAGCUGGGACUGCCUCUCUCUGUGAUGCCGAAUUCUGUCAGAGGAGCUUGAGAAUUCUAAAUUCACGCUCUGCCUUCCGGAGUGUUACGAAGGUACAUUUGUGAAGAUAGAAGGAUAGGACGUAAUUUAUUUAACAAUUUGUUAGCUUGAUUUAUGGCUUUUAAAUAUUUUAGAUACCUAGUAUGUGAGUCUUUAUUUGAACUCUUGUGCUGGUCCUGCAAACUGGUGAAAAAACAAAGAUUUGCCAGGCAUGGACGCCUCUAUUUCCAGCUGUGCGGCCGAGCUUUUUCUCCAUGCCCUGUCUUUGUUCAAACGCUCCGAUACUGUGUGUCGGUUAAUAAGCUUGCCAUACUUAUAUUAAGGGCAGUAAUGAAGGAGUAGAGGCUCUUUUGUGUUCUCUAUUCUUUUUUGGUUGCCUACCUUCUGAAGCCCCUGUCGGUGUCUGGGACAAUCCCCACCCUGCACACACACACACGUUUAUGGACCUCCGUAGGGAACAGAGCUCACAUCCCAGUACAGAAGACAAAAAUGCGAGGAACUUGCUAUGGCAGGCACUACCAGUUGUCUCCCCUAAUAUCCAUUCUCUUCUUUUUAGUAAGAGAACCCCCAAUUUUUAGCUGGGCACAGAGCCACCCAGAGCAAAGACUACAUUUCCCAGAUUCUUUUUCUGCUAGAUGUGGCCAAAUGAUCAAGUUUCCACCAUUGAGACAUAAAUAAUGUGAGUUCCAGGAAGUGGUUGUAAGGGAAGGGGUCAUCUUUCUUGCCUCUUUCUCUUUCUUGAUGGCUGGAAUGUGAACUUGAUGGCAGACGCUCAAGCAGCCAUAUUAGUCUAUAAGGCAGCAUGCAAAGGCAGAGUUGAGGGAGCUUCAGAUCAGCCUUGCACUCUUUGCCUUCGAACUUUUUUACAAAGAGAGAGAUAAAUUUCUAUUUUGUUUAAACCACAAUUAUUUUGAGUUUUCUAAACAUGGCAUGGAACCCCAGACUGAAUCAUGCAUUUGUCUUCCCAGCCUCUCUUGCAGCUAGGGUGCAGCAUGUGGCCAGGCUCUACCCAAGGUGGCCUCAGCGGCGAGCUUGAGCUCCUGCAGUAGUGGCUGUUUCCAGUGUCCAGUGCUGGGGGCCAGGCAAGAUGAAGUGCCCAGUGCUUGGUGGUGGCAGCAGGUCCUCACUAGGCCAGUUAUGUCUCAAAAUUUUGGCACUCUUCUUGGCUGCAUGGUCUCAAACCUAGUUUUUUAGCCUACCUGCUGAUUCUGUAAGUUAUCCAACAUCCUCUUAAUAAAUUCCCUAUCUCACAUCUGCCAGAGUUAGUCAGUAACCCACAGUCUUCACCCCUGUGAAACAAAAUACUUUCUAACAGUAAGAUUUCACCAAGAUGGUUGGUUUUUGCCACCAAAUAAGUCCAAUGAAUAAUCUGUCAACUCAGACUCAACACAAGGCACAGAUUCCAUUUCAAAGUCAGAAUUUUCCAACAACCUUAUUUCUAAACAUGCUUCUGGGGGGCAGAAUCAGGUACUUUGGAGUAUUUGGUGUCUCUUGUCACGGGGAUGGGUGCCAUCUGCUAGUUGAAGCCAUGGUAUUUGGGGAUGAUACCAGUAACCAAAAUUAAAUAUGAAUUUAAUACAAAAUUAAAUGAUAAAUAUAUGCAAAGGCCAACAGCACUUCACUUAUCCAGGGCUGAGUGAAACAGCAACCUCGGUUAUUUGGAACACUGUCCGAACCAGAAAAGGAGCAAAAAUAAACAGCACCCAAAACCAGAUGAAGAAACCAACAACCACCCUCAAAGCAAAACAAAAAAGACUGUUCAUGGCCAAAAUAAAUGACACCGAACUCACCCCCCACACACAGCUGAGGUAUUUACCCACAGGUCAAAAAUGGCUGGAUAUUGUCAGUUUGAUACAGUCUGGCUCUUCCUAUGCAUGGAGCUCCUAUCACAUGCCAGGCACAAUGGCCCCUCUCCUACCAUUGUCAAACCCUGGUAGCUGGACAUAGUUCUACUGGUAAACACCCCAGCCCAGCCCAGACUGUCGGAGCCAACCCUGGUCCUUCGCUGGGGGCGUACAGCAGUGUUCUUGGCUGGUCCUGCUUCGAGGCCUUCAGACAUCGUGCCAGGCUCUGUGCUAACAGUCACACGAGUUGAGCAUUACGCCCCUAUUUUACAGACAUGGGAACUGAGGCUCCUACCCAAGGUCAUGCAGGGAGGACUCAAACCCAAGCCUGGUGGACUUUAAACCUGGACGACAGCCUUCCUGGUCAGGGUGUUUCUCAGCUGAUCCCUCAGCCACCUCCCUUCUGCUUCCUACUCCCCAUCGCCACUCCCUCAAGCCUUAAAAUUCCCCUGUGAAGAGAUUUAUUCCUUGAGGCUGAAAGCAUUUCAAUUUUCAAGAGUCUCCAUUAAAAUGCAAAAGCCCCGGGGGUCCGGCCCAGUGUCGCAAUGGUUAAGUGCGCACAUUCUGCUUCGCGGCCUAGGGUUCGCUGGUUCGGGUCCCCGGUGUGGACAUGGCACUGC
This is a non-coding RNA of Equus caballus (horse), 3190 nucleotides long. NCBI's taxonomy places the organism in Eukaryota, Metazoa, Chordata, Mammalia, Perissodactyla, Equidae. The record is from RefSeq and is a predicted model, not a curated record.